GGGUCAUGAGAGGGUAAUAAGAAACUAGCUUGUAUUUUUUCUUUUUUGUCGACCUUGAACCUUAGGUUAUAAAACUCAUGAAAGAGUAACAAGAUCAAGGACAACCACAGAAGAAUAACAAGUACUUGAGGGAUUUUGAAGGCCAUGGUAUAUAUGGAAGAAUAGGAGAAGGCUAAAGGGUUGAGAAGGGGAAGCAUGGAUCCAUUAGAUGAUCGAGGAGGAAU
This 224-nucleotide long non-coding RNA is filed under the name Lupinus angustifolius (narrow-leaved blue lupine). RNAcentral describes it as "long non-coding RNA (LANG_LNC001775)". Lineage: Eukaryota; Viridiplantae; Streptophyta; Magnoliopsida; Fabales; Fabaceae. The record is from RNAcentral.